This 150-nucleotide unclassified non-coding RNA is filed under the name Gigaspora rosea. Its description in RNAcentral is "partial internal transcribed spacer region". The stretch from base 1 to 46 matches the Rfam family "Eukaryotic small subunit ribosomal RNA", at positions 1786 to 1831 of the family's 1831-position model. Lineage: Eukaryota; Fungi; Glomeromycota; Glomeromycetes; Diversisporales; Gigasporaceae. RNAcentral also lists the same sequence under 1 other name. The record is from RNAcentral.
AAGUCGUAACAAGGUUUCCGUAGGUGAACCUGCGGAAGGAUCAUUAAAAAAUGUGGUAUUUUAUACCUCUUGUAUUUAAAACCCAACUCUAAAAAUAUAAAUUUUUUUUUAAAAAAAAAAAAACUUUCAACAAUGGAUCUCUUGGCUCUC